AGUCUCAUUUCCCAGCACUCUUGUUCAUUCUCUUUUACCCGUACGGAUUACUACGCAAGAUCGAAUUUUGCAAUUUGGUUUUCCACAUUUCCCCUUUUCCUGCUCAAAACAAGAACCCUAAAAAAAAUUACCCACAAAUCAGAGCAUUAAAAUGGAUUUAUAUUUGCCCAACGAGAUUCUGUUCCAGAUACUGAUCAGGUUACCUGUGAAAGCUCUGGUUCGAUUCAGGUGUGUUUCCAAAUUUUGGUAUUCUCGAAUUGGCAAAUCCAAAUUCAUGCUUUCACAUCUACAUCAUAAUCAGGUUGCUAACUCUAAUGUUUUGUUUAGGAAAUACUUGUCGGAUUGUAAGACGGAAAUUUAUAGUUUACAUUCUGAUAAUCAAGAAUUUCAGGAAAUUGAAACCCUAGAUUUCCCAUUUAAGUGUGCUGAUAAUUAUUUCUCAAUUAUAGGGUGUGUUAAUGGUUUGAUCUGUUUAUGGGAUAAAAUUUCCACUGCCCUGGUGUUUUGGAAUCCUUCCAUUAGAAAAUAUGUCACUCUUCCUAAGUUUAGUUUGGAACCAGCCAUGAAAAUGAAUAAAAGAAUGAGAUUACACUGGAAUCCUACAGUAGUUCGUGAUAUGUGUUUCGGGUUUGGGUAUGAUGCUUUGUCAAAUGACUACAAAGCUAUAAGGAUGAUUUUCUAUGAGGAGACAGAUGAAUUGGGUAAUGAUGCAGUUAAAUGUUCAGUUUCCGUGUUCACCCUCCUAAGAAGAUCGUGGAGGAGCCUUGAUUAUAAUGCUCCGUUGCGUAUGUACUCUCGUUCAUGUAAUGUGGGCGGCUUUGUGUAUCGAUUAACAACGGUGAUAGGGGACAACCGGUUGGAGAUUGUGUCCUUUGAUUUGAGUACUGAGGUGUUUACGGAGAUGGCAUGUCCUGAUGAAGUUAGAUUUGUGGCCCGGUGUACACCAGAGUUAACAAUUUAUUGUGACUCUCUUGCUCUACUCCAUGAGUGGGAUUACAAGCGAUAUCACAUAUGGGUUAUGAAAGAGGAUGAUGGGGCUAAGUCGUGGAUGAAGCUAUUCUCAGUAGACCUUGAUGGAGGUGUAUCAGGGCAGCGUAUAGUUGGGUUUAGUAUGAAAGGACUAAUGCUUGUGGUAGGGGAAGGUAACUUGUUAGUUUCGCCCGCUGAGAAGGAUGCUCAAGUUGUAAAGUAUGUGCCUCAUGUCCCUCAAUCUGCAUGGCAUGUGGAGUCGUACCAAGGGAGUUUAGUUCUGCUCAAGGAACCAAAUAGGGAAUAAUAUAAUAGUAAGGAUUUUGAAAGUUCUCCUUGAUGAAGACAUGAGGAAUUAAGUAACUCAACAUACAUGAAUAUGCUGGCCUGCUGGGUAAGAGAGUACAUGGUAUGGUGUUAGUCUAAAGGGCAUCAAUUUUGAAGAGAGAGCUAUCGGCCCUAUGGAAGCAUCUUAAGAGAUUAUAGGAGCCUCAAGGAAGUUCCGUAUAGCCGACAAGUGCUCUCAAUUCAAAUCUGGAGAUAGAGUGACGGGGAUAUUAGUCACAUUACUAUUAGGUCAAAAUGUUAAAUAGACGGGAAUUGUCUAUCAGAUGCUAAUACACCAGCUAUAAGAUUUUGGUUUUGUACUCUAAAGCAGGGUUGUUCUGUUCUGGUAACUGUGAAUCAACAUUUGAUAAACAAAACCCUUACCUAAUAUUUUACUUCGCUUGUUUUUACA
This is an RNA transcript of Spinacia oleracea (spinach), 1708 nucleotides long. It is a transcript of the gene named F-box protein CPR1, with no coding region annotated. The transcript has 3 exons. The record is from RefSeq and is a predicted model, not a curated record. Lineage: Eukaryota; Viridiplantae; Streptophyta; Magnoliopsida; Caryophyllales; Amaranthaceae.